AGUAAGUCCAGGCUUGAAAAUGGGCUGAGAGUUAUGCUUGAAGCAUAACAACAUAUCAGAAGCAGGCUGCUUUGGUUCUUCAGGCUUUCUUCUGUAGAAAAUGGAACACCUUAAUGAAGAAAAAAGACAAGCUCCUUAAAGCAAGAAAAAGCGGGGAACAAAUCAUCAUGGAAAACCUCACCACCUCAAGCAUCUCUAAGCAAAGACUGAUCAAAACCUUACAACAGAUAUUCAUAGGCAAUGUAGACUGGAAGACAGACAAGAGACCCUCCUCUUCCUCCUUAGUGCUGUCAGGGUCUUGAUGGCACCCAUAGGGCCUUACUGCUCUGGAAAGUGAAAGACAUCUGAGAGUUACACUGUUCAACACCUUACUAGAAGUACCAGAUGUUAACUGGUCAAACCAUUGUCAUGAGGGAGAUAUGUAAAUGAUAUUUUAGGAAAAUUGUUCAUCUUUCAAAGAUUAGAAUUAGAUAAUAUUAUAGUGAAAUCUACAGUUGAAGGCAGUCAACAAUAUGCAGCUAAGUAUGUACGACUGAACCACCUUCUCUGUUUUUGUCUUAAAGCAAAUGCAGAAAUAAAGGUAAAUAUGGUAAUAUAGGU
Long non-coding RNA from Pygoscelis adeliae (Adelie penguin), 600 nucleotides. RefSeq lists it as uncharacterized. The transcript has 4 exons. The record is from RefSeq and is a predicted model, not a curated record. NCBI's taxonomy places the organism in Eukaryota, Metazoa, Chordata, Aves, Sphenisciformes, Spheniscidae.